Amphimedon queenslandica is the source of this 145-nucleotide long non-coding RNA. RefSeq lists it as uncharacterized. The transcript is spliced from 3 exons. The record is from RefSeq and is a predicted model, not a curated record. Lineage: Eukaryota; Metazoa; Porifera; Demospongiae; Haplosclerida; Niphatidae.
UUUGGCACUAGAGGUUCAACCAUGCAGAGUUAAUUCCAUUGAAUCUCUACUACAGGAAAAGAAAACUUGCGCAUCAAUGACAGACCAGGCUGACUUCAAUAUGGCAACAAUCAACCUAUAAAUAAGGUUGUGGAAUGGGUGGUAG